This 721-nucleotide small RNA is filed under the name Pongo abelii (Sumatran orangutan). RNAcentral's name for it is "retained intron". The record is from RNAcentral. Lineage: Eukaryota; Metazoa; Chordata; Mammalia; Primates; Hominidae.
GUCGCAAUAUUCAGCUUCCCCCUCUCGCCUUCAGACAGUUGGAACAAGCUGACUUGAAAAGUGAAUCAGAGAACAUUCAACGACCAACCAGCCUCCCCCUGAAGAUUCUGCCGCUGAUUGCUAUCACUUCUGCAGAAUCCAGCGGAGAGAAUGUCUCUCCUCCAUCUGCGAAGUGCUGCAUUUUAGGUUUGGUCUGACAAAUUGAUGCAACAGCUCAGUUUUGAUGUGGACAAUGGCACAUCUGCGGGACGGAGUCCCUUGGAUCCCAUGACCAGCCCAGGAUCUGGGCUAAUUCUCCAAGCAAAUUUUGUCCACAGUCAACGCCGGGAGUCCUUCCUGUAUCGAUCCGACAGCGAUUAUGACCUCUCUCCAAAGUCUAUGUCCCGGAACUCCUCCAUUGCCAGUGAUAUGUAAGUACAAGGGCAGGCAAAGAGAGAGAAAACCAAGUAAAUUUAUAUCUAGAGCUGAUGACGUAAUAAAACUGAUCACUUUUGUUCAACUGUAUCACUCUUCUCCAAUAUAGAAGAAUAUGAAUAAAAUUAUACAAGCUAGAAAUGAAUGGUAGAUUUAACUUGAGUGCACUGUCACUCUUGAUUAACACACACACACACACACACACACACGCAUUAUUUAUUUUCCCAGAAAAUACUUUAUAGGAAAACUGAGAAUUAAAUUUUUAAUGGAAACUAACACUUAAAUCAUUAGCUUAUAUUUAUGUAGA